This is a long non-coding RNA of Leopardus geoffroyi (Geoffroy's cat), 1790 nucleotides long. RefSeq lists it as uncharacterized. The record is from RefSeq and is a predicted model, not a curated record. The transcript is spliced from 3 exons. NCBI's taxonomy places the organism in Eukaryota, Metazoa, Chordata, Mammalia, Carnivora, Felidae.
GAGAGGACGCGUCCGCCCCCGCCCCAGGGGAGGAGGCGCCGGUGCUCCCAGGUCGGGGGGGGGGGGGGGGGGGGGCAUGACACUCCCCGAAGGAGCCCCAACACUGGACUGAGGCCCCAAACCCGGUGCCCCAGCUGGAGUUGAAGACUGCAGUGGAGCCUCAGCACUACUUGGAUGGAAUUGUCCACUUUAGUCGUAUUUGUAUACCUCUCCAAUCCUGCUCUCUGCCCACCUCUCUCACAUAUGCAAUGGCCUGGGAGCUCCUUUAAAGGAACCUAGACGUGAUGCCUGGAGGUGUGGCAGCCGUUGUGGUACCGUCAGGUUGAAAGCCAACGUGUAAGGAUGGUGGAAGAAAUCAUGAGGCCAGCAAAGCAGCCGAGGCAGUUGACAUGUAGCUUCCUUGUUAUGUGGGAAGAGGAAGCCCUAAAGUGUUUAAGUCACCGUUGUUAGGUUUGCUUUGACUUGUGGCCAAAGGCAUUCCUCCCAGAUGCGGAUGAGUAUCUGUCUGUGGAUGUCUCCAUUACUGUAGGCCACUUUAGGUUAUUGAGAGCCUUGCUCAGUGACACGAUUACAUACCUGGUGACCCACUGGCUGACUGAAUAGUAAGGAUCAAGGAUAUAUAAGUCAAUAGCAAUAAUACUAUCUUCGUAUUAUUGUUAGUAUUAUCACCCCAUGUAUCGAGGACGUGCUACACCCUCUAUAUGACGCAUUAUCUCGUUUAACCCCCACGGCAACACUAGAAGUGGAAGCUGAGCGGCACCCAUUUUACAGAUGAGGAAAACUGAGGCUCAGAAGGGCUCACGCAGCUGGUGGGCCAUGAGGCUAGAGUUGGAGCCAGGUAUGUGGGCCCCAGGACACAAUUUCUGUUCUCCCCACUGCACACCCUCAGGUCAAGAGAACCAGCUUGAUCAUUUUGUCUUUCGGCCAAGGAACGGAAGAGGGAGGGAGGGUGGCCUUGCUGGAUGGGGUGGCCCUGGGGCUCCCUGAAUCUCAGCUGUCAUGUGCAACUCUGCUGAGCUUGGGGAGCUGAGGGCUGGAACUUAGAGGGUAACAAGGAGUCUGUCCCCAGGGCCUGAGGCCUUGGCAAUCCAGGUCGUGGGGGACCAUGAGGUGCCAACCCCUGGCCCCAACGGUUCCUCAGACUCUUCUGGGAGGACUCCACUUAGUUCCUCAAGGAAAAAGGCAGCAGAGGAAGCCGGGCCAAGCCCCCUCUCCUGACCCCUUACACGGUGGCAUCCCCUUGCUCCGGCAGCCUGUUCUGGGAGGGGGACGGAGCUGGAGAGAGGAGGCAGGUGCCUGCUUAGAUUCUAGGUGAGCCCAGAGAGGUGAGAGAGUGAACCAAGGGGCACCGACCCCAGAGGAAGAAGGCCAGAGAAAGGUGAGAGCCAAAGCAGGAGAAAGGAGAAGAGUGUUCUAAGGAGUGAGCCCCUCAAGGGCGAAGGCUUGGCAUCUGGCAGGGAGAGGGUUCAGCAGAGCUGAGCAGCAGGGGGGGAGGAAGAGAGGGGAGGCUGGGAGGGGAGCGAGGGCGGGUCCCUGGGGCUUGAAGAGCCUCGUGGUGUUACCUGGAGGGGUGGGGGUUGUGGAGGGCUGGGCCGCGGCCACACGGAUCCCAUGGCUCACUCCAGAAGAGGACAGGCAUUGGCUUCUCAUUUGGAGCAAGGGUCUCUCCCGGGUGCAGUGUUCUGAGUCCCUGAGGCCACAGCUUAAGAGGCUGUGCAAAGGGGCACCCAGGCGGUGCAGUCAGUUAAGCCUCCGGUCAUGAUCUCCUGGUUUGUGGGUUCAAGCCCCAU